AGACUUUAGAUAUGAUCCAGAGUACCACGGGACACGUGAAACCCUGUGGGAAGCAGGAGGGACCACCCUCCAAGGCUAAAUACUACCUAGUGACCGAUAGCGUAUAGUACCGUGAGGGAAAGGUGAAAAGAACCCCGGGAGGGGAGUGAAAUAGAACCUGAAACCCUGCACUUACAAGCUGUGGAAGCACAUUUCUUGUGUGACCGCGUACUUUUUGUAGAACGGGCCAACGAGUUACGUUAAGUAGCAAGGUUAAGCACUUAAGGUGGGAGCCGUAGCGAAAGCGAGUUUUAACUGAGCGUUCAGUUACUUGACGUAGACCCGAAACCGGGCGACCUACCCAUGAGCAGGAUGAAGCGAAAGUAAAAUUUCGUGGAGGUCCGAACCCACGAGCGUUGAAAAGCUCGGGGAUGACUUGUGGGUAGCGGUGAAAUUCCAAUCGAGCCCGGAGAUAGCUGGUUCUCCCCGAAAUAGCUUUAGGGCUAGCCUCAAGGUGAGAGAUACGGAGGUAGAGCACUGAAUGUCCUAGGGGGUAUUGCACCUACCGAAGACUAUCAAACUCCGAAUGCCGUCAUCUUAUACUUGGGAGUCAGACUGUGGGUGAUAAGAUUCAUAGUCGAAAGGGCAACAGCCCAGAUCGUCAGCUAAGGUCCCUAAAUGUAAGUUAAGUGGUAAAGGAUGUGGGAUUGCACAGACAACCAGGAUGUUGGCUUAGAAGCAGCCACUCAUUCAAAGAGUGCGUAAUAGCUCACUGGUCGAGUGAUCCUGCGCCGAAGAUUUCCGGGGCUAAAACUUACUACCGAAGCUACGGCAUCAGUAAUGAUGGGUAGGGGAGCUUCCCAUACGGGUUGAAGCAUGACCGUAAGGACAUGUGGACAGUAUGGGAGUGAGAAUGUUGGCAUGAGUAGCGAGAUGUGGGUGAGAAUCCCACAGGCCGUAAACCCAAGGUUUCCAGGGGAAGGUUCGUCCGCCCUGGGUUAGUCGGGACCUAAGCUGAGGCCGAAAGGCGUAGGUGAUGGACAACAGGUUGAUAUUCCUGUACUACCGAUAACCGUUUGAGAGAAGGGAUGACACAGUAGGAUAAGCUAAGCACACUGUUGGUUAUGUGUGCCCAAGCAUUGAGGCAGUCAAAGUAGGCAAAUCCGCUUUGAUAAUGCUGGGAUGUGAUGGGGAGCGAAAUUUAGUAGCGAAGUAGCUGAUUUCACACUGUCAAGAAAAGUCUCUAUCGAGGUUAAAGGUACCCGUACCGCAAACCGACACAGGUGGGUGAGGAGAGUAUCCUAAGGCCAGCGAGAGAACUGUUGUUAAGGAACUCGGCAAAAUGACCCCGUAACUUAGGGAUAAGGGGUGCCACCAUCAGGUGGCCGCAGAGAAUAGGCCCAAGCGACUGUUUACCAAAAACAUAGGUUUCUGCUAAGUCGCAAGACGAUGUAUAGGAGCUGACGCCUGCCCGGUGCUGGAAGGUUAAGGGGAUCUGUUAGAGCAAUCGAAGCAGUGAACUUAAGCCCCAGUAAACGGCGGCCGUAACUAUAACGGUCCUAAGGUAGCGAAAUUCCUUGUCGGGUAAGUUCCGACCCGCACGAAAGGCGUAACGAUUUGGGCACUGUCUCAACAACAGACUCGGUGAAAUUGUAAUUCCGGUGAAGAUGCCGGAUACCUGCGACAGGACGGAAAGACCCCAUGGAGCUUUACUGUAGCUUGACAUUGGGUCUUGGUACUACAUGUACAGGAUAGGUGGGAGGCUUUGAAACCAGGACGCCAGUUUUGGCGGAGCCAUCCUUGGGAUACCACCCUUGUAGUACUGGGACUCUAACCAUAGGCCAUGAAUCUGGUCUUGGGACACUGUCAGGUGGGCAGUUUGACUGGGGCGGUCGCCUCCCAAAAGGUAACGGAGGCGCUCAAAGGUUCUCUCAGUACGGUCGGAAAUCGUACGUAGAGUGUAAAGGCAAAAGAGAGCUUGAUUGCAAGACAUACAGGUCGAGCAAGGAUGAAAAUCGGACUUAGUGAUCCGGUGGUUCUGCGUGGAAGGGCCAUCGCUCAACGGAUAAAAGCUACCCUGGGGAUAACAGGCUUAUCUCCCCCAAGAGUCCACAUCGACGGGGAGGUUUGGCACCUCGAUGUCGGCUCAUCACAUCCUGGGGCUGUAGUAGGUCCCAAGGGUUGGGCUGUUCGCCCAUUAAAGUGGUACGCGAGCUGGGUUCAGAACGUCGUGAGACAGUUCGGUCCCUAUCCGUCGCAGGCGUAGGAAAUUUGAGAAGACCUGUCCUUAGUACGAGAGGACCGGGAUGGACGUACCUCUGGUGUACCAGUUGUUCUGCCAAGGGCAUGGCUGGGUAGCUAUGUACGGAAUGGAUAAGCGCUGAAAGCAUCUAAGCGCGAAGCCAACUUCAAGAUAAGAUUUCCCACCGCAAGGGUAAGACCCCAGAAAGACUAUCUGGUUGAUAGGUCGAAGGUGUAAGUGCAGCAAUGUAUUUAGCUUAUCGAUACUAAUAGGUCGAGGACUUGACCA
Molecule: ribosomal RNA, 2509 nt
Filed under: Clostridioides difficile P13
Lineage: Bacteria; Bacillati; Bacillota; Clostridia; Peptostreptococcales; Peptostreptococcaceae
Description: bacterial LSU rRNA
Rfam family: Bacterial large subunit ribosomal RNA
Source: RNAcentral